CGGGAGGCAGCAGUAGGGAAUUUUCCGCAAUGGGCGAAAGCCUGACGGAGCAAUACCGCGUGAGGGAAGACUGCCUAUGGGUUGUAAACCUCUUUUUUCAGGGAGGAAUUUUGACGUGUACCUGAAGAAUAAGCAUCGGCUAACUCCGUGCCAGCAGCCGCGGUAAGACGGAGGAUGCAAGUGUUAUCCGGAAUCACUGGGCGUAAAGCGUCUGUAGGUGGUUAAACAAGUCAACUGUUAAAUCUUGAAGCUCAACUUCAAAAUCGCAGUCGAAACUGUUUGACUAGAGUAUAGUAGGGGUAAAGGGAAUUUCCAGUGGAGCGGUGAAAUGCGUAGAUAUUGGAAAGAACACCGAUGGCGAAGGCACUUUACUGGGCUAUUACUGACACUCAGAGACGAAAGCUAGGGUAGCAAAUGGGAUUAGAUACCCCAGUAGUCCUAGCCGUAAACAAUGGAUACUAGAUGUUGAACAGAUCGACCUGUGCAGUAUCAAAGCUAACGCGUUAAGUAUCCCGCCUGGGAAGUAUGCUCGCAAGAGUGAAACUCAAAGGAAUUGACGG
Molecule: ribosomal RNA, 560 nt
Filed under: uncultured bacterium
Lineage: Bacteria
Description: bacterial SSU rRNA
Rfam family: Bacterial small subunit ribosomal RNA
Source: RNAcentral